This 74-nucleotide transfer RNA is filed under the name Pirellulales bacterium. RNAcentral describes it as "tRNA-Val". It matches the Rfam family "tRNA". From Rfam's summary of the family: Transfer RNA (tRNA) molecules are approximately 80 nucleotides in length. The record is from RNAcentral. Lineage: Bacteria; Pseudomonadati; Planctomycetota; Planctomycetia; Pirellulales.
GGGCGAUUAGCUCAGUUGGCUAGAGCGCCACGUUUACACCGUGGAAGUCACAGGUUCAAGUCCUGUAUCGCCCA